Molecule: long non-coding RNA, 2489 nt
Organism: Carassius gibelio (silver crucian carp)
Lineage: Eukaryota; Metazoa; Chordata; Actinopteri; Cypriniformes; Cyprinidae
Exons: 3
Source: RefSeq, a predicted model, not a curated record
GACACAACAACAACAACAAUGAACAACAUCAUCAUCCUCAUCUGGACCAUUGCAGCUUUUAUUCAAGCAUCCAGAGGAGUCACUUUGACUCAACCUAAAGAGAAAACUGUCCAGCUCGGUCAAACAGCUACAAUAGAGUGUCAUAUAGAUGUAGGAAUAUACAGCACUCACUUAUACUGGUAUCAGCAGAAACCUGGAGAAACUCCUAAACUUCUGAUAUCUUAUAUAAACACCCUCCAGUCUGGAACUCCAUCUAGAUUCAGUGGCAGUGGAUCUAACAGUGAUUUCACUCUGACCAUCAGAGGAGUCCAGACCGAAGAUACAGGAGAUUAUUACUGUCAGAGUGCACAUAAGAUCACUACAUCAGUAAUAGCUGGGUGUUCACAGUGAUAAAGAGUCGUACAAAAACCUCCGUCAGUCAGAGUCACAGUGACUGCACUGAUACAGCUGAGAGAUACUGCAGCUGCUGAUGGAUGUUAUUUUCUGUUAUUUCUUAUAACAGUCUCAUUCACUCAAAAAUGCUGAAGUCUUGUAAUUAUUUGUGGGUCUUUUUUGGAUCUGUUUUUCACAAACAACUUCACCAUGGAUGAAGUUAAUUCAUUAUUCAAAAUGAUCCACCAUUAAACAAUCCAAUGAAAUCUAACGAUACUCAUGCAGGGAAUCAGAUAGAGUCCUCAUGUCCUUUCAAUCCAGAACUACACAAAAUUAGUUCUCCAUGAUUUCCUUUUAAGUGUCAUGAAACAUUAAAACUUAAUUCUUCAUUUUCUUCUUCUUCUUCUCAGUGGCGGAGCCAGGACGUUUUCAUAGGGGUGGCCAGGGAGGGUGCCAGCAACCAGUCUGGGGUGGCACAGAAAUCUUCAUUAUUUCAAUAUAAAAAUGUGUUUGACUGUUUUCAUUCCAAAAACACAACUAAGUACAAUUAAUUUAUAAUAAACUGUAAUUGAAAUAUUUGUGAAUUAGAUCAAGUAAUACUGAGUGAAUAUGACAAUUUUUGUAUUAUUCCUCACCUCCAGCUAUUUUAUAAAGGGCCUCACUAUAGCUUUAUUGCUCAUUCAACUUCUCAAAACUCCCAAAUGCUUGCUCUCCAAUAUUGCAUACUAAUGGAUGAGACACACAGAAAGAUCUGAAAAUGGCUGGAAGUCAACAGUAAAACUGUGCUCACAUUUUCUAUGCAUUAAAUUACAAAUAAAAAUACAUAUCAGUUUGUGCCUUAGGUAUUCUCGAAUUAUAGAAUAUAUUUUAGUAUGCAUUUGAGCAACGUUCUUGCAUACUGCGUAUACAUGCAAAGUUUGCAGCUUUAAUCAUCUUUUUGGAGAUUGCAUGACUGACGACAGAACUGGGUAUGUAUGCUCAUAUUUAUUGUGCAGGUUAUUUAUGAUGAAGUGAUAUAGAGCGUGCGCAACAUAUCUGUUGAAGAGCCGUGAGCAAAGUAAAACAGCUAAUGGGACAGGAAAGUGUGUUUUACUGACAUAUAGGCUAGUCUAACAACAUUUCAUCAGACCGAAGUUCACAGUUGUUCUACUUAAGCUGAUUUGGCUGCUGUAGCUUUUCCACGCUCGUUUGACUCGCGCCUGACACUGAGGUGAAGCUGAAGUGAGCUUCUGAAAAUUCUCCCGUUUGAUGUAGUCAUAAAUAGAGGUACGGUGUUCCGAAUCUUAAUAAAUGCAUUUUUUCGUAACUAAAAAAAGGGACAAAAACUGCAGUUUUGAGUGGGUUGGCCAAAGGGGUGGCCAUGCUUUCGACCCCCGGGCUCCACCCCUGCUUCUUCUUCUUCUUCUUCUUCCACAGAGAAAAUCUCAAAUGUUGUAUUUUGUUAAGAAUCAUUCUGUAAUUGAAAGGCAGUUGUGAAAAUGAUGUUUUGGAGUUCACACAACCAAAUAACAUUUUCACACAUUUCUUAGAAUUCAGUAAAAUUACAGCUUGAUUGGAAUUAACUCAAAAAUAUUCUGCUCACAAGUGAUAUUUACCUUGGUUUUCCACUUUUAUAAGUUCUUUAUUAAAAAAAAAUUUCAGUGGAAAUGAAACCACAGUCAUAGUCAGAAUACUGAAUAUUAUAUUUUAUUGUAAGUUAAUAUAAUACAUUUUAUAUUUUAACAUUGCAAGUCAUAACAAAGAAGCAUUUGAAAAGCAAAAACACAUUCAUGAAGAAUUAAGUUUAUUAUGAUAUUCAAAUAACCAAAGAAAGGGCUGAAAUUAAUUAGUUUUAGUUUUAAUUUAAAUUCACUCUUGGAGUAUAAGAGAGAGUAAGAGAUGUAAGAGAGACAGGUGUACUGUUGAUGUUAACAGUGGGGUUUGUCAGCUUCUGCUGGCGUAGUGCUGAUGUUAACGGCGGGGUUUGUCUCUCUCUGCUGGUGUAGUGUCGAUGUUAACAGCGGGGUUUGUCUCUCUCUGCUGGUGUAGUGUCGAUGUUAACGGCAGGGUUUGUCCCCCUCUGCUGGUGUAGUGUCGAUGUUAACGGCGGGUUUUGUCUCCCUCUGCUGGUGUAGUGU